RNAcentral lists this ribosomal RNA (253 nucleotides) under uncultured bacterium. RNAcentral describes it as "partial 16S ribosomal RNA". It matches the Rfam family "Bacterial small subunit ribosomal RNA", at positions 524 to 776 of the family's 1533-position model. The record is from RNAcentral.
UACAGAGGCCUCGAGCGUUAGGCGGAAUCACUGGGCUUAAAGCGUGUGUAGGCGGACUUCUAAGUACCUUGUGAAAUCCCACGGCUUACCCGUGGAACUGCUCGGUAUACUGGUUGUCUUGAGCCACCUAGGGGCGAGUGGAACAAAUGGUGGAGCGGUGAAAUGCGUAGAGAUCGGAAAGAACACCAACGGCGAAAGCACUCUGCUGGGCCGACACUGACACUGAGAGACGAAAGCUAGGGGAGCGAAUGGG